RNAcentral lists this ribosomal RNA (188 nucleotides) under Salmonella enterica subsp. enterica serovar Muenchen. RNAcentral's name for it is "partial 16S ribosomal RNA". It matches the Rfam family "Bacterial small subunit ribosomal RNA", at positions 1 to 182 of the family's 1533-position model. Lineage: Bacteria; Pseudomonadati; Pseudomonadota; Gammaproteobacteria; Enterobacterales; Enterobacteriaceae. RNAcentral also lists the same sequence under 14 other names. The record is from RNAcentral.
AAAUUGAAGAGUUUGAUCAUGGCUCAGAUUGAACGCUGGCGGCAGGCCUAACACAUGCAAGUCGAACGGUAACAGGAAGCAGCUUGCUGCUUCGCUGACGAGUGGCGGACGGGUGAGUAAUGUCUGGGAAACUGCCUGAUGGAGGGGGAUAACUACUGGAAACGGUGGCUAAUACCGCAUAACGUCGC